This 482-nucleotide ribosomal RNA is filed under the name uncultured bacterium. RNAcentral's name for it is "partial 16S ribosomal RNA". It matches the Rfam family "Bacterial small subunit ribosomal RNA", at positions 30 to 507 of the family's 1533-position model. The record is from RNAcentral.
AUUGAACGCUGGCGGCAUGCUUUACACAUGCAAGUCGAACGGUAACAGCACUUCGGUGGCUGACGAGUGGCGAACGGGUGAGUAAUACAUCGGAACGUGCCUAGUAGUGGGGGAUAACUACUCGAAAGAGUAGCUAAUACCGCAUGAGAUCUAAGGAUGAAAGCAGGGGACCUUCGGGCCUUGCGCUACUAGAGCGGCUGAUGGCAGAUUAGGUAGUUGGUGGGAUAAAAGCUUGCCAAGCCGACGAUCUGUAGCUGGUCUGAGAGGACGACCAGCCACACUGGGACUGAGACACGGCCCAGACCCCUACGGGAGGCAGCAGUGGGGAAUUUUGGACAAUGGGCGCAAGCCUGAUCCAGCAAUGCCGCGUGCAGGAUGAAGGCCUUCGGGUUGUAAACUGCUUUUGUACGGAACGAAAAGCCCUCUUCUAAUACAGGAGGGUCAUGACGGUACCGUAAGAAUAAGCACCGGCUAACUACGUG